GACGAACGCUGGCGGCGUGCUUAACACAUGCAAGUCGAACGGAAAGGCCCUGCUUUUGUGGGGUGCUCGAGUGGCGAACGGGUGAGUAACACGUGAGUAACCUGCCCUUGACUUUGGGAUAACUUCAGGAAACUGGGGCUAAUACCGGAUAGGAGCUCCUGCUGCAUGGUGGGGGUUGGAAAGUUUCGGCGGUUGGGGAUGGACUCGCGGCUUAUCAGCUUGUUGGUGGGGUAGUGGCUUACCAAGGCUUUGACGGGUAGCCGGCCUGAGAGGGUGACCGGCCACAUUGGGACUGGGAUACGGCCCAGACUCCUACGGGAGGCAGCAGUGGGGAAUAUUGCACAAUGGGGGGAAGCCUGAUGCAGCAACGCCGCGUGCGGGAUAACGGCCUUCGGGUUGUAAACCGCUUUCGCCUGUGACGAAGCGUGAGUGACGGUAAUGGGUAAAGAAGCACCGGCUAACUACGUG
Molecule: ribosomal RNA, 468 nt
Filed under: uncultured bacterium
Lineage: Bacteria
Description: partial 16S ribosomal RNA
Rfam family: Bacterial small subunit ribosomal RNA
Source: RNAcentral